GUGUUGUGUGAAAGGAGAGAAGGUUAGCACUUCCCUUGACAAUGAUGGAAGAGGCCCUCAGGCCUGACAACACAUACAGAAAAUAAGCACAUGUAAAGAUGUCCGACAUUAUUAGUCAUUAGG
Small nuclear RNA from Gorilla gorilla gorilla (western lowland gorilla), 123 nucleotides. NCBI's taxonomy places the organism in Eukaryota, Metazoa, Chordata, Mammalia, Primates, Hominidae. The record is from Ensembl.